GAUGAAGAACGCAGCGAAAUGCGAUAAGUAGUGUGAAUUGCAGAAUUCAGUGAAUCAUCGAAUCUUUGAACGCACAUUGCGCCCCUUGGUAUUCCAUGGGGCAUGCCUGUUCGAGCGUCAUUUGUACCUUCAAGCUCUGCUUGGUGUUGGGUGUUUGUCUCGCCUCUGCGUGUAGACUCGCCUCAAAACAAUUGGCAGCCGGCGUAUUGAUUUCGGAGCGCAGUACAUCUCGUGCUUUGCACUCAUAACGACGACGUCCAAAAGUACAUUUUUACACUCUUGACCUCGGAUCAGGUAGGGAUACCCGCUGAACUUAAGCAUAUCAAUAAGCGGAGGA
This 337-nucleotide unclassified non-coding RNA is filed under the name soil metagenome. Its description in RNAcentral is "partial contains 5.8S ribosomal RNA, internal transcribed spacer 2, and large subunit ribosomal RNA". The stretch from base 1 to 120 matches the Rfam family "5.8S ribosomal RNA", at positions 35 to 154 of the family's 154-position model. The record is from RNAcentral.